Molecule: ribosomal RNA, 253 nt
Filed under: uncultured bacterium
Lineage: Bacteria
Description: partial 16S ribosomal RNA
Rfam family: Bacterial small subunit ribosomal RNA
Source: RNAcentral
UACGAAGGGGGCUAGCGUUGCUCGGAAUCACUGGGCGUAAAGGGUGCGUAGGCGGGUCUUUAAGUCAGGGGUGAAAUCCUGGAGCUCAACUCCAGAACUGCCUUUGAUACUGAGGAUCUUGAGUUCGGGAGAGGUGAGUGGAACUGCGAGUGUAGAGGUGAAAUUCGUAGAUAUUCGCAAGAACACCAGUGGCGAAGGCGGCUCACUGGCCAGAUACUGACGCUGAGGCACGAAAGCGUGGGGAGCAAAUAGG